CUGCAGAUGCAAGAAAAAAGGGUCCCCACACUCUCUGCCUGAACGUGGCGGCCAAGACUGAAUGGGGGAUACAGGA
Molecule: small nucleolar RNA, 76 nt
Filed under: Myotis lucifugus (little brown bat)
Lineage: Eukaryota; Metazoa; Chordata; Mammalia; Chiroptera; Vespertilionidae
Description: Small nucleolar RNA SNORA31 (ENSMLUG00000023555.1)
Source: RNAcentral